CCUACGGGCGGCAGCAGUGGGGGAUAUUGCACAAUGGGGGAAACCCUGAUGCAGCGACGCCGCGUGGGUGAAGAAGUAUUUCGGUAUGUAAAGCCCUAUCAGCAGGGAAGAAAGAAGACGGUACCUGACUAAGAAGCCCCGGCUAACUACGUGCCAGCAGCCGCGGUAAUACGUAGGGGGCGAGCGUUAUCCGGAUGCACUGGGUGUAAAGGGAGCGUAGACGGCCGUGCAAGCCAGGAGUGAAAGCCCGGGGCCCAACCCCGGGACUGCUCUUGGAACUGUGCGGCUGGAGUGCGGGAGGGGCAGGCGGAAUUCCUGGUGUAGCGGUGAAAUGCGUAGAUAUCAGGAGGAACACCGGCGGCGAAGGCGGCCUGCUGGACCGCGACUGACGUUGAGGCUCGAAAGCGUGGGGAGCGAACAGGAUUAGAUACCCGUGUAGUC
RNAcentral lists this ribosomal RNA (441 nucleotides) under uncultured bacterium. RNAcentral's name for it is "partial 16S ribosomal RNA". It matches the Rfam family "Bacterial small subunit ribosomal RNA", at positions 338 to 795 of the family's 1533-position model. The record is from RNAcentral.